Molecule: ribosomal RNA, 254 nt
Filed under: uncultured bacterium
Lineage: Bacteria
Description: partial 16S ribosomal RNA
Rfam family: Bacterial small subunit ribosomal RNA
Source: RNAcentral
UACGGGGGGAGCAAGCGUUGUUCGGAUUUACUGGGCGUAAAGGGCGCGUAGGCGGUCAGCACAAGUCAGUUGUGAAAUCUCCGGGCUUAACUCGGAAAGGUCAACUGAUACUGUGCGACUAGAGUGCAGAAGGGGCAACUGGAAUUCUCGGUGUAGCGGUGAAAUGCGUAGAUAUCAAGAGGAACACCUGAGGUGAAGACGGGUUGCUGGGCUGACACUGACGCUGAGGCGCGAAAGCCAGGGGAGCAAACGGG